GACGAACGCUGGCGGCGUGCUUAACACAUGCAAGUCGAACGGAAAGGCCCUGCUUUUGUGGGGUGCUCGAGUGGCGAACGGGUGAGUAACACGUGAGUAACCUGCCCUUGACUUUGGGAUAACUUCAAGAAACUGGGGCUAAUACCGGAUAGGAGCUCCUGCUGCAUGGUGGGGGUUGGAAAGUUUCGGCGGUUGGGGAUGGACUCGCGGCUUAUCAGCUUGUUGGUGGGGUAGUGGCUUACCAAGGCUUUGACGGGUAGCCGGCCUGAGAGGGUGACCGGCCACAUUGGGACUGAGAUACGGCCCAGACUCCUACGGGAGGCAGCAGUGGGGAAUAUUGCACAAUGGGCGGAAGCCUGAUGCAGCAACGCCGCGUGCGGGAUGACGGCCUUCGGGUUGUAAACCGCUUUCGCCUGUGACGAAGCGUGAGUGACGGUAAUGGGUAAAGAAGCACCGGCUAACUACGU
This 467-nucleotide ribosomal RNA is filed under the name uncultured bacterium. RNAcentral's name for it is "partial 16S ribosomal RNA". It matches the Rfam family "Bacterial small subunit ribosomal RNA", at positions 28 to 506 of the family's 1533-position model. The record is from RNAcentral.